GUGGGCACCGUGCGCUGCUCGAGCUUGCAGGAAAGCCUGUCUCUCCGAGUGUGGCUGGGGAGGGGGCUGGGUUUCUUUUUGUUUCUAGAAGUCCCCUUCACCCUCGUUUGCCCCCGCGUACCGCCGAGAGGAUCGCGUGGAAUGGCUGCAGGGCUCCAGGGCGCACCCCACCCCACGCACGCCCUCUGGGGCGCCAGAAGGCGCGGCCCCGGGGGGAUCCCUGUUCCCAGGAGGAAGCGCGGAGUGGAGCUGCUGGAUCCUAAGACAAUGCCACACUUUCCGUUUUGAAGAACUUCCAAAGACUUUCAGUAGGUGGAAUGUGGAGAGAGUCAGAAGAGCUGAACAGAAUCUGGAGCCUGCUCCAAUGCAGCCUUGGCGUGAAGCAGAAGAUGUGGCCCAGAUUAAAGGUGGAUCUUCACCCUCAAAGAUCCAGAUUAGAACUCCUGGCUGGUGACAUGUGGAUGACACUCUAUAACUAUCAGAUGGUCCCACAAAUACCAACAUUGCUGCUCCAUCUGAAUCAAAUCCUCCAUACCCACAAGGGUUGUUUGUCCUCUUUUCUGCCUGAUGUCACAGCUGGGAUACCUUGAUGUCACAAAGUGGAAGAUGAAGAGGCAUAGUCUAACAUGUGGAAGAAAAUGUGAUGCUGGGGUCCAGUUUUUCUUGAGUGGUUGUGCAUUUCUAUCUGCUUUUCUUAGCUCUGUUCAUUUCCCUGCUCCAGUAUUCACUUGCUGUUGCCAGGGACCCAUGAGCCUCGGAGUUGAAGUCAAGAUAGCUCCCUGGCUCUGGAUUUUGCAGUAAUGAAUGCACCCACCAAGGUAAUAAUAAACUCGCAGUCUCAUUA
Long non-coding RNA from Mus musculus (house mouse), 844 nucleotides. RefSeq annotates it as predicted gene 53058. NCBI's taxonomy places the organism in Eukaryota, Metazoa, Chordata, Mammalia, Rodentia, Muridae. The record is from RefSeq and is marked validated. The transcript is spliced from 5 exons.